Molecule: ribosomal RNA, 492 nt
Filed under: uncultured bacterium
Lineage: Bacteria
Description: partial 16S ribosomal RNA
Rfam family: Bacterial small subunit ribosomal RNA
Source: RNAcentral
AGUGAACGCUGGCGGUAGGCCUAACACAUGCAAGUCGAACGGCAGCACAGUAAGAGCUUGCUCUUACGGGUGGCGAGUGGCGUACGGGUGAGGAAUACAUCGGAAUCUACUUUUUCGUGGGGGAUAACGUAGGGAAACUUACGCUAAUACCGCAUACGACCUACGGGUGAAAGCAUGGGAUCUUCGGACCUUGCGCGAUUGAAUGAGCCGAUGUCGGAUUAGCUAGUUGGCGGGGUAAAGGCCCACCCAGGCGACGAUCCGUAGCUGGUCUGAGAGGAUGAUCGGCCACACUGGAACUGAGACACGGUCAAGACGCCUACGGGAGGCAGCAGUGGGGAAUAUUGGACAAUGGGCGCAAGCAUGAUCCAGCCAUACCGCGUGGGUGAAGAAGGCCUUCGGGUUGUAAAGCCCUUUUGUUGGGAAAGAAAAGCAGCAGGUUAAUACCCAGCUGUUCUGACGGUACCCAAAGAAUAAGCACCGGCUAACUUCGUG